RNAcentral lists this small RNA (443 nucleotides) under Oryza sativa Japonica Group (Japanese rice). RNAcentral's name for it is "sRNA Os04g0111350". The record is from RNAcentral. Lineage: Eukaryota; Viridiplantae; Streptophyta; Magnoliopsida; Poales; Poaceae.
ACGUUUUGGUGAAAUCCAGUUGCUCUCCUAGUCUCCCCACAAGCAGCCGCCACAGGCCAGCCGACGCGAGCUCGGUGCCUCGGCCUCCCUGCCACGCCGCCGCAUCCACGCCCCAAGUCCUUCAGCGCCACCUCGCCAACCCAGCCACACUUCAGCGCCAAGCAAGGCCAGGCGUCCAGCUUGAUGUUGCCAUCCUCGCCACGAAGCACCUCCCCAAGCCCGAACGCCUCAGCUACAGCAUGUUCUCUUCUUUGUUUUUCUGGAAGCUGCAGCAUGUUCAAUCCAAGUAUCCAACGACUUUUGCGUUGAUUGAUUUCGUCUGUUUGUACGAAUGGGAAUGGAAUCGAUUAACUUCCAGUUGAUAUCGCUGUGCAUACAUAUGUAUUACAUGGAUCCAUUCUCGGAGAUGUUUCUUCGCUUAAUUGAAUAUUGUUUUCUGUCCC